RNAcentral lists this long non-coding RNA (270 nucleotides) under Lathyrus oleraceus (garden pea). RNAcentral's name for it is "Pisum sativum (pea) long non-coding RNA (PSAT_LNC006451)". The record is from RNAcentral. Lineage: Eukaryota; Viridiplantae; Streptophyta; Magnoliopsida; Fabales; Fabaceae.
AAAAAUAAGGAGGAGCUAGGGUUUCCAGAAAAUUGAAGAGGUAAGGGGGGAAUCCUUAUUAUUAUGGGUUAGUAUGAUCGGGUCAAUGGGUAGAAGCAUGUUUAGGUUAAAAUCCCUAAUUUGCCUGAUUUUAGAAUGUUAGGUUUUGAUGAGUAUUCUUGAUUUAUGAUGAUUUAAUUGUAUUAAAACUGAAAAUUAACGUUAUUUAAUUGUAUGAGUUGUAAUUUUCUGAAUGUUUGGCUUUUUACGGAAUCGAAAUCGGAGGUCCGG